This is an RNA transcript of Ipomoea triloba (trilobed morning glory), 2588 nucleotides long. RefSeq lists it as uncharacterized. The transcript is spliced from 10 exons. The record is from RefSeq and is a predicted model, not a curated record. NCBI's taxonomy places the organism in Eukaryota, Viridiplantae, Streptophyta, Magnoliopsida, Solanales, Convolvulaceae.
UUCAGAUACAGACCACAAACCUCGCAGGUGAGCUCAUCUUUCUUCCAAGCAACUCUGUCUGAAAGGUAUCAACCUUUACCUUCUGCUUCAGUUGGGAGAGAGGACAGACCAUUAUACCUCACCAAAUUUGCUAUUUCCAUCGACUCACCCUCUGUAUUCAACCACUGCUCAACAGAUGCAAAUCUCAUACCUAUUGAGUUGCCUGAUGCAAUCCCUGACUGGCAGAAAUACAAGAAGUCUUUCAAGGCAUCACAGACAAAAUCAAUGAAGUGAAGUACCAAUUGGAGCACUUUAAGCGGUUGUUACCGAUUGCUUUUUGUGAUUUUUUACCAAAACCGAUAUGGGAUGCCAUUACAGAGCUUAGUCACUUUUUUAGAGAUAUUUGCUCAAGUGAAUUACGAAUUCAACAUUUGGAAAUAUUGGAGAAAAACAUUAUUGAAAUCCUGUGUAAGUUAGAAAAAAAUUUUCCACCGGGGUUCUUUGAUUCCAUGGUGCACUUACCCAUUCAUUUAGCUUAUGAGGCUAAAGUUGGUGGACCUGUUCAUUAUAGAUGGAUGUAUCCAUUUGAAAGGUUUUUGCAUCAAUUAAAAAAAAAAGUGCGGAAUAGAAACUAUGUUGAAGGAUCAAUAUGUGAAGCAUAUUUGAUUGAAGAAAUAUCUACAUUUUGCUCACAUUAUUUUGAAGAUCAUGUCCAAACACGAUUGAAUCGUGUUCCUCGUAAUGAUGAUGGUGGAGAUGUGAAUGCAAACAAUCGUUUGUCAAUUUUUACUCAUCCGGGUCGACCAUUAGGGCAAGGUAAAAUGGUGACUAGAGGCAGGGGUAGAAAAUAUAAAACUCAAGUAAGAGGAAGUUCUAGUUGUUUUGCACAAGGUGUUGAUGAUGAUCUUACUUCUAAUCCAUCACAUUUUGUCAAUCGCCAUGGAUUGCAAUCCACACAUCUUAAUGCAUCUUUAACUGACGGACAACAAUCCAAUGCACCACCUCAUGUUUCACCAUUAUCUAGCGGAUCACAAUCCAAUGUCCGGCCAGAUCAUGUUGCAUCUAUAUCUGAUGGGCUACAAUCUGAUGCACCUUUGCUAAAUACACCACUUGAUGAUCAUGUUGAGGAAGCUAUUGAAGAUACUGUCCAAUCACUUCAUGAAUCUGCCACUACUUUAACUAAGCAAACAAAGAGGAGGGGGCCUAAUAGAGGUAGAGCUCUACCAUCUGAUCCUUCCAGGAAGAUCAAACUGAAUGUUAUAAGUGGGAGUGAUUUUCUAGAAGAUGGAGUUGCUGCUGACAUUUCUGCUAUGGUGAAAUCAAAUUUUAAUGAUCAUUGGCCAACUUGGGCACAAUUUUCUGAUGAAACAAAAGCUGCUUUAUAGGCAAAAUUUCAGGAAAAAUAUCAUUGGGAUGAAGAUAAAAAUGAAAAUGUGUAUAAAAUAUGGUAUGCCAAAGCUAAUAAGGGGUUUAGGGAUGCUAUUAGUAGAGGAAGAAAAAAUGCAUGCACUAAGGCCGGCAUUAACCCUUAAGAUUCAAAUGCUAACUGGGAAAAAGUAAAAGAGCAUAGAGAAAGUUGGAUCCCGCAACCAAUUUGGAAUCAUUUUGUGGAUAAUAUUUGGUCGAAAGAGGAAUGGAUGAAGAAAUCUGCCAAGGCUGCAAAAAACCGUAACACACUAAAGGAAGGAAGUGUCACCAAACAUACUGCUGGUUCAUGUUCAUUUGUUAAACAUAAGCAUAAGAUGGCUAAAUCACUAGGACGAGAACCAUCCCAACUAGAAAUUUUCAAUGCAACUCAUACUCGUAAGAAAGAUGGUGGCCAAUUUGUGGAUGGAAAAUCAAAAUCCGUCAGUGAGAAAUAUGACGCAGCUUUGAAAGAGAAACAUGGUAAUGAUUCUUCUUCUCAAGUGACGUUUGAUGCUGAUGCAUGGAAAUGUGCUAUUGGUGAUAUCAAUCGCUCCCAUUUGUAUAGUUUUGGAGCUCUUGAGAACCGAAGGUCUAUUCUAGGUGGAAGUUCAACCCAAAGAUCCACAACUACUAAUGUACCCAAUGUAGCAAAUGAGGCAUUACAAGAGCUUUUCAAGAAAUGGUUGUCAAAACAACUCCCUGGUAUGUUAUCUUCUUUAGGCUAUCAUCCUAUGGACAAUGCAUUUGGAGACAAUGUUCCACCAUCAUCAAGUGGUGAUAUUCCAAACACUUCACAAAAUGGCAGUCAAGGAAUGGAAAGUAAUAGGGGUGCUGAUGGACAUGAUGAUAGGGAUGGUGAUGGACAUGAUGAAUUGGAAGCACCAUGAUAAUUUAAUAUGUUGCUAAUGUGAUGCAUGUAAAAAGCUAACAUCAACUAAUUUUUUUGGUUACAACUUUGACAGGCUAAACAAUCCCUACAUAUUUUUUUAAUUAGCUUGUCUAUUGGGAUUUAUGUUUUGUAUAUUAGUAGGAUGUUAGCUACCAACUCUUAGUUUAUAAUUUAGAUGUACUACUAAACUCCAAUUUAGAGGAGGAUAUUAAUUAGCAACCCCACAAUAUUAGUGAUUGUUUUUGUUUUUGAGCGAUGGGGCCUAUUUGUAUUAAACUAAUUAUAUAUAUGAUGAAUUGAAUUUACUAUUUUA